UACGGAGGGUGCAAACGUUGCUCGGAAUCAUUGGGCGUAAAGCGCACGUAGGCGGCCUGUUAAGUCGGGUGUGAAAGCCCUCGGCUCAACCGAGGAAGUGCAUUCGAAACUGGCAGGCUUGAGUAUGGAAGAGGGUCGCGGAAUUCCCGGUGUAGAGGUGAAAUUCGUAGAUAUCGGGAGGAACACCAGUGGCGAAGGCGGAGACCUGGGCCGAUACUGACGCUGAGGUGCGAAAGCGUGGGGAGCGAUCCGG
This 253-nucleotide ribosomal RNA is filed under the name uncultured bacterium. Its description in RNAcentral is "partial 16S ribosomal RNA". It matches the Rfam family "Bacterial small subunit ribosomal RNA", at positions 524 to 776 of the family's 1533-position model. The record is from RNAcentral.